AUACGUAGGGUGCGAGCGUUGUCCGGAAUUACUGGGUGUAAAGAGCUCGUAGGUGGUUUGUCGCGUCGUCUGUGAAAUUCCGGGGCUUAACUCCGGGCGUGCAGGCGAUACGGGCAUAACUUGAGUACUGUAGGGGAGACUGGAAUUCCUGGUGUAGCGGUGAAAUGCGCAGAUAUCAGGAGGAACACCGGUGGCGAAGGCGGGUCUCUGGGCAGUAACUGACGCUGAGGAGCGAAAGCAUGGGUAGCGAACAGGAUUAGAUACCCUGGUAGUCCAUGCCGUAAACGGUGGGCGCUAGGUGUAGGGGUCUUCCACGACUUCUGUGCCGUAGCUAACGCAUUAAGCGCCCCGCCUGGGGAGUACGGCCGCAAGGCUAAAACUCAAAGGAAUUGACGGGG
Molecule: ribosomal RNA, 398 nt
Filed under: uncultured bacterium
Lineage: Bacteria
Description: partial 16S ribosomal RNA
Rfam family: Bacterial small subunit ribosomal RNA
Source: RNAcentral